This 503-nucleotide ribosomal RNA is filed under the name uncultured bacterium. RNAcentral's name for it is "bacterial SSU rRNA". It matches the Rfam family "Bacterial small subunit ribosomal RNA", at positions 29 to 524 of the family's 1533-position model. The record is from RNAcentral.
AUUGAACGCUGGCGGCGUGCUUAACACAUGCAAGUCGAUCGGUAACAGGUGUAGCAAUACAUGCUGACGGGAGGCGGACGGGUGAGUAAUGCUUGGGAAUCUGCCUAUUAGUGGGGGACAACCCGGGGAAACUCGGGCUAAUACCGCAUACGCUCUACGGAGGAAAGCCGGGGACCGCAAGGCCUGGCGCUAAUAGAUGAGCCCAAGUCGGAUUAGCUAGUUGGUAGGGUAACGGCCACCAAGGCGACAAUCCGUAGCUGGUCUGAGAGGACGACCAGCCACACCGGAACUGAGACACGGUCCGGACUCCUACGGGAGGCAGCAGUGGGGAAUAUUGGACAAUGGGGGCGAACCCUGAUCCAGCGACGCCGCGUGGGUGAAGAAGGCCUGCGGGUUGUAAAGCCCUUUCGGUGGGGAAGAAAAGUCUCGACCUAAUACGUCGGGACCUUGACGUAACCCACUAAAGAAGCACCGGCUAACUCUGUGCCAGCCGCCGCUGUAAC